GGGCGCAUAGCUCAGUUGGUAGAGCAGCUGACUCUUAAUCAGCGGGUCGCAGGUUCGAGCCCUGCUGCGCCCACCA
This 76-nucleotide transfer RNA is filed under the name Rhodospirillaceae bacterium. Its description in RNAcentral is "tRNA-Lys". It matches the Rfam family "tRNA". From Rfam's summary of the family: Transfer RNA (tRNA) molecules are approximately 80 nucleotides in length. Their secondary structure includes four short double-helical elements and three loops (D, anti-codon, and T loops). RNAcentral also lists the same sequence under 11 other names. Lineage: Bacteria; Pseudomonadati; Pseudomonadota; Alphaproteobacteria; Rhodospirillales; Rhodospirillaceae. The record is from RNAcentral.